This 344-nucleotide ribosomal RNA is filed under the name uncultured bacterium. RNAcentral describes it as "bacterial SSU rRNA". It matches the Rfam family "Bacterial small subunit ribosomal RNA", at positions 8 to 334 of the family's 1533-position model. The record is from RNAcentral.
AGGGUUUGAUUAUGGCUCAGGAUGAACGCUGGCGGCGUGCUUAACACAUGCAAGUCGAGCGAAGCACUUUGGAAAGAUUCUUCGGAUGAUUUCCUUUGUGACUGAGCGGCGGACGGGUGAGUAACGCGUGGGUAACCUGCCUCAUACAGGGGGAUAACAGUUAGAAAUGACUGCUAAUACCGCAUAAGACCACGGUACCGCAUGGUACAGUGGUAAAAACUCCGGUGGUAUGAGAUGGACCCGCGUCUGAUUAGGUAGUUGGUGGGGUAACGGCCUACCAAGCCGACGAUCAGUAGCCGACCUGAGAGGGUGACCGGCCACAUUGGGACUGAGACACGGCCCAG